CAUGUGUCAGUUAAUUAAGCCUGAUAAUUGUAAACUAAUUUUAUCCACGUCUCGAUGCCGCGUCUCUACGCUUUCCUAGAUUCCUAGAUUCGACGAAAUCCCUCUCGAUGUUCCAGUUUCAGAGGAAAGUGUGGCAGUGGUCCAAGGGAAGAGAGGCCAAAUGUAUACCGGAGGCACCGCUCUCCAAUGGUGUACAGGUGCAGCUGCAGCCAAACCUAUCCAUUCGAUGUUGUUUGCCCGAAGAUUGGGAGGGGACAUUCGUCAACAUCAACUGUCAUAGUAUCUGUCCGUAUACUGUAAAAUGUGCGCGCACAUACGCGCAACAUAUGUCUACGUAUCGGUCACUUUCGUACUUUUUUCUUUCUCACCUGGACUUCACCAUUAACCCACUUGCACUUGCGUUUAACACGGCAGCCUCGCCUAACAUAGCCUGUAACUGUAUUCGAAUUUCCAGAUAGAGUAAACGCAAGCAUUGAUUCGAGCCAUUAUUUCGAAAAAGGUAAAAAAAAAAUUCAUUUCCAAAUUUUUUCACAUCGAAAAUACUUUUUUUUUACGAUUUUCAACGAUUCUCGAUUUCGAUUACGGAAAUCGUGUAUUCCCGCUCUCUGAUCCUCCUCGAUCAAUCGGGCCAGGUAACCGUCUACGUGUUACAAUUCGCAUGUUUUUGCAUGUGUUUCACGACGGCCUUAAAACGACUAAACGAUCGAGCAACGACCUCCUUACCGUAUCGCUAUGAAAUUCUGUCUUUGCUUCGUUCAUUUGCUCGAGAAUAAUGCUAUUUAUAACGUUUUUAGGUCUUGUCCUGCGAGAAAUAUUCAAAAGUCGCGAAAAAAAAGGAUAGAUUAAUGUUAUGAAUAAUAUUAUAAUAUUAUAGGUACAAAUUUGUACACGUAUAUCAUGAUAUACGUAUAAUAUAUCAUCAUAAUGUGUAAACGUAAUGAUGAUCAAACAAAAACGUUCUUUAAGCGAAUUGAAUUUGAAUGGAUUCAUUCAUUCAUUGUGAAUCUAUAUAUAUAUAUAUAUAUAUAUAUAUACUUUCUUACGUACUUUUAUAACCGAUAUUCGAUAAAAAUAAUGUCAAAAUUUUUCUUAUAUAAUGUUUUUUUAUACGCAUAUAUAUGUAUAUAUCUGUAGCGGUAAUAUAUAUUUUUAUUCUCAAUCAAAUUUUCUAAUUAAGUCCGAUCGGCUCUCUUUUGUAAAAUUUUUCCGUUCCAUUUGAAGUCAGUAGCAUUAUAAUGUCGGUAGAUUUGCUUGCAUCGUUUUCGUAGUUUCAUAAACGAUUCAUGUUUCAAUCUUAUGUCAUUUCCCGCACAUUUCCUUUCCACGUGAUUCAAUAAUACUCUGUAGCAGAAUCUUAACACAUCGAUUCAACAAGAUAAUUUGACCAUAUUAACAAAUUAGGCCAAUCACACGAAUGAAAUCAAUUUUAUUUUUAUGUUCUAAUUGAACACAUGUGAUAAUAUUCAUAGAUAAUCUUAUUUGCAAAUUUUCUAUUAAUAUGUAUGCUUAAUUUCUUGAUACUGUAUUAAUUUAAUUUCUUAAUGCAAUAUAGGAUAUUUAAUUAAAGUGAGAUAUCUUUAGAAAUAUCAAAAUAAUGAACAAACUGACAGAUAUAUUAUGAUAUUUAAAAAAAUCUGACGCAUACAUAUAUAAUCUCUGCGACAUACAAAAAAAUAUUUAUAUGUAUAUAUAUAAAAUAUAUGUAUUUCAAUGUCAUAUAAGAAUUUAAAUAUAUAAAAAAUAGAUAUGCACAUAUUUACGAUAUAUAAAAAUUAAAUUGAAUUAAAUAAAUAGAAUCAAUAUUAAUUUUAUCUAUUAAGAUUUUUAAUCAAUAGAUUAGGUGAAAAGAAGAUAAUAAAAUAAAUCAGAUAUCAACACCGUUUCUUAUAAGUCUAUAAAGUUUACAGAAUAAAUAUGGAUAAGGAAAACAUAUAAUGAGAAAAGGACAGAGAUAGGUUAGAAAUUAUGGAAUUAGCGCCAUCUCUAAAGUGCCUAAAUGAAACUAAUAUAGAUAAGAUAAAAAAGAUAAGAAUUGAUUUUCAACGUCAUCUCUCGAAUGCUCAAGAUAUCUCUUCGAAAGCAAUAUAAAAGAGUAUAAAGUGUAAAGUAAUAGAUUAAGGCUCAGCGUCAUCUUUUGAGUAUCAAAAACAAUUUUCCAAGAGUACUCGAGAGAUGGCGUUGAAAGCCAAUUUUUAUCUUAUUUUUAUCUUUCUUAUUUACUCUCCUUAUCUAUAUUUACUUACAAUUUUCGAUUUUUUCUAUUUAUUAUAAUGUUUUACAAUAUACUUUUUUCUUUAUUCCAAAGCAAAUCUUAUUUUGUAUUGUAUUAUUAUAAAAUAAAUUUAAAAUUUCUAUUUCUGUAA
This is a long non-coding RNA of Apis cerana (Asiatic honeybee), 2363 nucleotides long. RefSeq lists it as uncharacterized. Lineage: Eukaryota; Metazoa; Arthropoda; Insecta; Hymenoptera; Apidae. The record is from RefSeq and is a predicted model, not a curated record.